This 492-nucleotide ribosomal RNA is filed under the name uncultured bacterium. Its description in RNAcentral is "partial 16S ribosomal RNA". It matches the Rfam family "Bacterial small subunit ribosomal RNA", at positions 29 to 507 of the family's 1533-position model. The record is from RNAcentral.
AGUGAACGCUGGCGGUAGGCCUAACACAUGCAAGUCGAACGGCAGCACAGUAAGAGCUUGCUCUUACGGGUGGCGAGUGGCGGACGGGUGAGGGAUACAUCGGAAUCUACUUUUUCGUGGGGGAUAACGUAGGGAAACUUACGCUAAUACCGCAUACGACCUACGGGUGAAAGCAGGGGAUCUUCGGACCUUGCGCGAUUGAAUGAGCCGAUAUCGGAUUAGCUAGUUGGCGGGGUAAAGGCCCACCAAGGCGACGAUCCGUAGCUGGUCUGAGAGGAUGAUCAGCCACACUGGAACUGAGACACGGUCCAGACUCCUACGGGAGGCAGCAGUGGGGAAUAUUGGACAAUGGGCGCAAGCCUGAUCCAGCCAUACCGCGUGGGUGAAGAAGGCCUUCGGGUUGUAAAGCCCUUUUGUUGGGAAAGAAAAGCAGCAGGUUAAUACCCCGCUGUUCUGACGGUACCCAAAGGAUAAGCACCGGCUAACUUCGUG